CCUACGGGAGGCAGCAGUGAGGAAUAUUGGUCAAUGGACGAGAGUCUGAACCAGCCAAGUAGCGUGAAGGAUGACUGCCCUAUGGGUUGUAAACUUCUUUUAUAUGGGAAUAAAAUGUUCCACGUGUGGGAUUUUGUAUGUACCAUAUGAAUAAGGGUCGGCUAACUCCGUGCCAGCAGCCGCGGUAAUACGGAGGGUCCGAGCGUUAUCCGGAUUUAUUGGGUUUAAAGGGAGCGUAGGGGGAUUGUUAAGUCAGUUGUGAAAGUUUGCGGCUCAACCGUAAAAUUGCAGUUGAAACUGGCAGUCUUGAGUACAGUAGAGGUAGGCGGAAUUCGUGGUGUAGCGGUGAAAUGCUUAGAUAUCACGAAGAACUCCGAUUGCGAAGGCAGUUCACUGGACUGCAACUGACACUGAGGCUCGAAGGUGUGGGUAUCAAACAGGAUUAGAUACCCGAGUAGUC
RNAcentral lists this ribosomal RNA (460 nucleotides) under uncultured bacterium. RNAcentral's name for it is "partial 16S ribosomal RNA". It matches the Rfam family "Bacterial small subunit ribosomal RNA", at positions 338 to 795 of the family's 1533-position model. The record is from RNAcentral.